UACGUAGGGUGCAAGCGUUGUCCGGAAUUACUGGGCGUAAAGGGUUCGUAGGUGGCUUGUUAAGUCAGACGUGAAAUCCCUCGGCUCAACCGGGGAACUGCGUCUGAGACUGAUGAGCUCGAGUGCAGGAGAGGAACGCGGAAUUCCAGGUGUAGCGGUGAAAUGCGUAGAUAUCUGGAGGAACACCGGUGGCGAAGGCGGCGUUCUGGACUGCAACUGACACUGAGGAACGAAAGCCAGGGGAGCAAACGGG
RNAcentral lists this ribosomal RNA (253 nucleotides) under uncultured bacterium. RNAcentral's name for it is "partial 16S ribosomal RNA". It matches the Rfam family "Bacterial small subunit ribosomal RNA", at positions 524 to 776 of the family's 1533-position model. The record is from RNAcentral.